AACGAACGCUGGCGGCAUGCCUAACACAUGCAAGUCGAACGAGACCUUCGGGUCUAGUGGCGCACGGGUGCGUAACGCGUGGGAACCUGCCCGUAGGUUCGGAAUAACUCCCCGAGAGGGGUGCUAAUACCGGAUAAUGUCUUCGCACCAAAGAUUUAUCGCCUUUGGGUGGGCCCGCGUUGGAUUAGCUAGUUGGUAGGGUAAAAGCAUACCAAGGCGACGAUGCAUAGCUGGUCUGAGAGGAUGAUCAGCCACACUGGGACUGAGACACGGCCCAGACUCCUACGGGAGGCAGCAGUGGGGAAUAUUGGACAAUGGGCGAAAGCCUGAUCCAGCAAUGCCGCGUGAGUGAUGAAGGCCUUAGGGUUGUAAAGCUCUUUUACCCGGGAUGAUAAUGACAGUACCGGGAGAAGAAGCUCCGGCUAACUACGUG
Molecule: ribosomal RNA, 433 nt
Filed under: uncultured bacterium
Lineage: Bacteria
Description: partial 16S ribosomal RNA
Rfam family: Bacterial small subunit ribosomal RNA
Source: RNAcentral